UCUUAUCCAGAGGGGAGAAGGGAACUGGCCCAUUGAAUCCCCAGCAACAGGCUUUAUGUACUGUGCUAAAUCCAGCAAGUAAUUGGCAGAUAAG
Molecule: non-coding RNA, 94 nt
Filed under: Gracilibacillus phocaeensis
Lineage: Bacteria; Bacillati; Bacillota; Bacilli; Caryophanales; Bacillaceae
Description: SAM riboswitch (S box leader)
Rfam family: SAM riboswitch aptamer (S box leader)
About the family: The SAM riboswitch is found upstream of a number of genes which code for proteins involved in methionine or cysteine biosynthesis in Gram-positive bacteria. The SAM riboswitch acts at the level of transcription termination control. The predicted structure consists of a complex stem-loop region followed by a single stem loop terminator region.
Source: RNAcentral